This 508-nucleotide ribosomal RNA is filed under the name uncultured Lactobacillus sp. Its description in RNAcentral is "bacterial SSU rRNA". It matches the Rfam family "Bacterial small subunit ribosomal RNA", at positions 63 to 525 of the family's 1533-position model. The record is from RNAcentral. Lineage: Bacteria; Bacillati; Bacillota; Bacilli; Lactobacillales; Lactobacillaceae.
CGAGCGAGUCUGCCUUGAAGGUCGGAGUGCUUGCACUCUGUGAAACAAGAUACAGGCUAGCGGCGGACGGGUGAGUAACACGUGGGUAACCUGCCCAAGAGAUCGGGGAUAACACCUGGAAACAGAUGCUAAUACCGGAUAACAACAGAUGAUGCCUAUCAACUGUUUAAAAAGAUGGUUCUGCUAUCACUCUUGGAUGGACCUGCGGUGCAUUAGCUAGUUGGUAGGGUAACGGCCUACCAAGGCGAUGAUGCAUAGCCGAGUUGAGGGACUGAUCGGCCACAUUGGGACUGAGACACGGCCCAAACUCCUACGGGAGGCAGCAGUAGGGGAAUCUUCCACAAUGGACGCAAGUCUGAUGGAGCAACGCCGCGUGAGUGAAGAAGGGUUUCGGCUCGUAAAGCUCUGUUGUUGGUGAAGAAGGACAGGGGGUAGUAACUGACCUUUGUUUGACGGUAAUCAAUUAGAAAAGUCACGGGCUAACUACGUGCCAGCAGCCCGGGUAAAU